Molecule: ribosomal RNA, 165 nt
Filed under: uncultured bacterium
Lineage: Bacteria
Description: partial 16S rRNA
Rfam family: Bacterial small subunit ribosomal RNA
Source: RNAcentral
UAGGGAGUCUUCGGCGAUGGACGAAAGUCUGACCGAGCAACGCCGCGUGAGUGAAGAAGGUUUUCGGAUCGUAAAACUCUGUUGGUAGAGAAGAACGUUGGUGAGAGUGGAAAGCUCAUCAAGUGACGGUAACUACCCAGAAAGGGACGGCUAACUACGUGCCAA